This 330-nucleotide long non-coding RNA is filed under the name Salvia miltiorrhiza (redroot sage). Its description in RNAcentral is "long non-coding RNA (SMIL_LNC001326)". The record is from RNAcentral. Lineage: Eukaryota; Viridiplantae; Streptophyta; Magnoliopsida; Lamiales; Lamiaceae.
AAUGUAAAUUGCCAAAGUAUAUAUAUAAGCAAAGGAUCAUUUUCUAUGUUUGGUUUUAUUCCAUCCAUUCUUGAAAGAUUUUUUUGGGAUAAUUUAUUCGGUGAGGGAAUUUGAAAAUGAACAUAUAUAUGUUAAUUUGGAUGGUUUGUUGUAUAGGUUGUUAUGAUAUAGUAUAAAUUAUACUCAAUGAGUAAAGCAUUUUCUAUUGUUGAUGUCGAAAUAAUGGAGGAACUUUUUUUUUUUUUUCAAGACAAUUCUGCAGAGUUGAUUUGUUGUGGUUGGCAAUAAGAUGUAUAGUCAUGUGAUAUUUAAAUUUCUUUAUUUUUUUAC